GCCACUCCCUUGAUCCGAGUUCUACAGUAACCCACGUCAAAUACUCAACACCAGCCCUCAUGGAACUGCUCCGAGCCAUUUCAGCUGUCUGAAGCUUGCCCUCUGGAACAUUCUUCGGCUGCGUGAAGUGACAGGUGGAAACACGGACGGAUUUUCAGCUUGAUGAAGGAAGACCCGUUUUCUUUGAUGAUGGAGAACUGGGGCAGAUCCGGAAAGCACGGCAAAAUAUGUAACAUUUCCAAGGCACCCGUGAGGUACUAUUCGACCGGUGUGAACCAAGAGUUUGUUUGAGGGAAACAAGGUAUGGCUUCCUUGUUCUGACCCCCUUCUGCCUGUGAAGGUCUACCAUUUUGCACAGCUCCUCCAAGCUCCUGGCGAGGUGCUGGACGGGAAGCUCCCUGAUUCAUGCAUGAACUGUUGAA
Long non-coding RNA from Mustela lutreola (European mink), 422 nucleotides. RefSeq lists it as uncharacterized. NCBI's taxonomy places the organism in Eukaryota, Metazoa, Chordata, Mammalia, Carnivora, Mustelidae. The record is from RefSeq and is a predicted model, not a curated record. The transcript has 3 exons.